This 324-nucleotide ribosomal RNA is filed under the name Paramecium multimicronucleatum. Its description in RNAcentral is "SSU rRNA". It matches the Rfam family "Eukaryotic small subunit ribosomal RNA", at positions 626 to 970 of the family's 1831-position model. Lineage: Eukaryota; Ciliophora; Oligohymenophorea; Peniculida; Parameciidae. The record is from RNAcentral.
GCUCGUAGUUGAAAUUCGAAUUAGCUGAUAGAGGGCUUAGGCUAUCUAGCAGUUGGUUCUCCGUCUACAAUCCCUCUUGGGCUUCAGGGUUGCAGAGGGCUGAGUAGACAAUUUACCUUGAAAAAAUUAGAGUGUUCCAGGCAGGUUUUCGCCGGAAUACAUUAGCAUGGAAUAAUGGAAUAGGACUUAGGUCUUUUGUUGGUUUUAGGAUCUGAGUAAUGAUUAAUAGGGACAGAUGGGGGCAUUAGUAUUUAAUUGUCAGAGGUGAAAUUCUUGGAUUUAUUAAAGACUAACUUAUGCGAAAGCAUUUGCCAAGGAUGUUUU